Molecule: ribosomal RNA, 417 nt
Filed under: uncultured bacterium
Lineage: Bacteria
Description: bacterial SSU rRNA
Rfam family: Bacterial small subunit ribosomal RNA
Source: RNAcentral
UAUUGGUCAAUGGCCGAGAGGCUGAACCAGCCAAGUCGCGUGAGGGAUGAAGGUUCUAUGGAUCGUAAACCUCUUUUAUAAGGGAGUAAAGUGCGGGACGUGUCCCGUUUUGUAUGUACCUUAUGAAUAAGGAUCGGCUAACUCCGUGCCAGCAGCCGCGGUAAUACGGAGGAUCCGAGCGUUAUCCGGAUUUAUUGGGUUUAAAGGGUGCGUAGGCGGCCUUUUAAGUCAGCGGUGAAAGUCUGUGGCUCAACCAUAGAAUUGCCGUUGAAACUGGGAGGCUUGAGUAUGUUUGAGGCAGGCGGAAUGCGUGGUGUAGCGGUGAAAUGCUUAGAUAUCACGCAGAACCCCGAUUGCGAAGGCAGCCUGCCAAGCCAUGACUGACGCUGAUGCACGAAAGCGUGGGGAUCAAACAGG